RNAcentral lists this ribosomal RNA (492 nucleotides) under uncultured bacterium. RNAcentral's name for it is "partial 16S ribosomal RNA". It matches the Rfam family "Bacterial small subunit ribosomal RNA", at positions 29 to 507 of the family's 1533-position model. The record is from RNAcentral.
AGUGAACGCUGGCGGUAGGCCUAACACAUGCAAGUCGAACGGCAGCACAGUAAGAGCUUGCUCUUACGGGUGGCGAGUGGCGGACGGGUGAGGAAUACAUCGGAAUCUACUUUUUCGUGGGGGAUAACGUAGGGAAACUUACGCUAAUACCGCAUACGACCUACGGGUGAAAGCAGGGGAUCUUCGGACCUUGCGCGAUUGAAUGAGCCGAUGUCGGAUUAGCUAGUUGGCGGGGUAAAGGCCCACCAAGGCGACGAUCCGUAGCUGGUCUGAGAGGAUGAUCAGCCACACUGGAACUGAGACACGGUCCAGACUCCUACGGGAGGCAGCAGUGGGGAAUAUUGGACAAUGGGCGCAAGCCUUAUCCAGCCAUACCGCGUGGGUGAAGAAGGCCUUCCGGUUGUAAAGCCCUUUUGUUGGGAAAGAAAAGCAGCAGGUUAAUACCCCGCUGUUCUGACGGUACCCAAAGAAUAAGCACCGGCUAACUUCGUG